UAAUUAUUUUGUUCAUACUUAGAAAGCUUAAUCAAAUAAUCUUUCCUAAUAAUUAUCUAAAAUAACUUUUAAAAUGCAACAAAAGCCACCAUUUUGCUAACUAAUUUAUUAAAACACUACAUAGUUUAAUUCUGUAGAGCACUGUCAACUGAAGUCUUGCACCUUUCUGUUAGUCUGUUCAUAAUUUUGCUUUCAGGAUGACUCUAAAGUGUCAGUGCUGAAUGCUUUAGAAUCAGAAACAGCUUACAGAAAAGGAAAGGACCAGAAGACUAAGCCUUUGAUGCAAAUAAUUAAGCUUGAAGAUGAUGGGAAUCUUGAGAGACUUCUUUCUUUUGCACCAGAGUCGGCACCAAAGUUGGUUUCAAUUGAGAAAGAUGAACGUAUUGUGAACAUGGCUAUUGUUUGUGAUGGUACACAUAUUUACUAGAGACAGCCGAUUCAAAAGAGGCCAUAGCUGUGUUGAUUGGUUUGUUUUACCUUGCAGACCUAGAUUAUCCAAAGGCAUAUUCACAGGUGCGUGGGUUACUUCAGCAAACUGAACUUCAGCAGCAGUUUGAUGGGCAUAAGAGCUAUGGAUUUGUUCAAUAUUUAAAGACAGUGAACACGGAGAUGGAGAGGAAAGAAAAGAAGCCAGUGUGACUUAAGUGAUCCAGCUAUCAUAAAAGGAAAAAUUGAACUUUACUUUCAUUUGGAUAAUUAUCAGUUUACACUUGCUCAGAAUAUGUUUUACUAUUCAGCACUGAGAAAAGUCAAGCACGCUGUCUUACAUACAGCUCAUGUUGGACUUGGGUUAAUAUUAUAGCACUUUGGUUAAUAUUAUAGCAAUGUUGGAAAUUUGUGUGCAAUUUCAAGUACUUUCAUAGUUUAUUGUAGGAAUGGCAACAAAUACUGAUUUUGGUAUUCGAAUAUUUGUAUAGAGCAUUCAAAUGUAAUCCAAUAUUUGAAUAUUCGUAUAAAAAUUUUAUGCAUCCAAAUUUGUAUUAUGUCCAUUACCAAUGCACUAUGAUCAAUAAGUUUUCCUGUUGAAUUGGGAAUUUUUAUUCUCUUUUUUUGAGAGUCGUUAAUGAUGCCUUAAUAUGUAACUAUUCACAAUCUUCAUCAUGGGUAUUUUUUAAGAACUGAUUUCUUAAGUUAGAUGUGAUAUUUGCCAGCUGAAGGCAUUAUUGAGGGGUGAACAUCUCAUCAUUUUUAAUGACUAGCAAAUCCAUAAUUGUUUUAUUAUGUUUUGUUACAAAGAUAAAUUGUUUCAUUAACUGUAGUUUUUUUCGGGUUUGCAAGUAAAGUAAAAGUUACUAAGUUCAUACUUUUUUAUUAUAUUUAUUUAUUUUAUGUUUAUCGCAGACUGUACUUAAUGCUUUUAUAUAAAGCGAAUGAUUUUAACCAAUAGAAAUCUGGCUAUUUUUAGUACAAAUUAAUAAUUUCAUACUUCUUGCAACAGAUGUUUGAUGAUGUCAUGAUUUUUAGCUUGAUUAUUUAAA
Long non-coding RNA from Ruditapes philippinarum (Manila clam), 1478 nucleotides. RefSeq lists it as uncharacterized. Lineage: Eukaryota; Metazoa; Mollusca; Bivalvia; Venerida; Veneridae. The transcript has 3 exons. The record is from RefSeq and is a predicted model, not a curated record.